GCGGCGGGCCGUGACUGGCGUUCGGGUGGAUCACCACCGGGGAGCGGCCCGGCGUACCGGUGGGUACGUCGACUGCCGCGCGCCUGGGCGAACCGC
Molecule: non-coding RNA, 96 nt
Filed under: Streptomyces sp.
Lineage: Bacteria; Bacillati; Actinomycetota; Actinomycetes; Kitasatosporales; Streptomycetaceae
Also listed under: 1 other name
Description: ZTP sequence
Rfam family: ZMP/ZTP riboswitch aptamer (pfl RNA motif)
About the family: Previously known as pfl RNA.
Source: RNAcentral